This 465-nucleotide ribosomal RNA is filed under the name uncultured bacterium. Its description in RNAcentral is "bacterial SSU rRNA". It matches the Rfam family "Bacterial small subunit ribosomal RNA", at positions 338 to 795 of the family's 1533-position model. The record is from RNAcentral.
CCUACGGGUGGCAGCAGUCGAGAAUAAUUCACAAUGGGGGCAACCCUGAUGGUGCAACGCCGCGUGGAGGAUGAAGGUCUUCGGAUUGUAAACUCCUGUCAUCCGGGAGUAAGACCUGGCGAUGAAUAGUCGACAGGGUUGAUAGUACCGGAAGAGGAAGGGACGGCUAACUUCGUGCCAGCAGCCGCGGUAAUACGAAGGUCCCGAGCGUUGUUCGGAAUCACUGGGCGUAAAGGGAGCGUAGGCGGCGUGGUAAGUCAGAUGUGAAAUCCCGGGGCUCAACCCCGGAACUGCAUCCGAUACUGCCGUGCUCGAGGAUUGGAGAGGUAGCUGGAAUUCACGGUGUAGCAGUGAAAUGCGUAGAUAUCGUGAGGAACACUCGUGGCGAAAGCGAGCUACUGGACAACUCCUGACGCUGAGGCUCGAAGGCCAGGGUAGCGAAAGGGAUUAGAUACCCCAGUAGUC